ACUCAAAGGAAUAGACGGGGACCCGCACAAGCAGCGGAGCAUGCGGUUUAAUUCGAUGCAACGCGAAGAACCUUACCAAGGCUUGACAUAUAUAGGAAAGUCUUUAGAGAUAAAGACCCCCUUCGGGCUUAUAUACAGGUGGUGCAUGGCUGUCGUCAGCUCGUGUCGUGAGAUGUUAGGUUAAGUCCUUUAACGAGCGCAACCCCUGUCCUAUGUUGCCAGCGGAUAAUGCCGGGAACUCAUGGGAGACUGCCGAGGUCAACUCGGAGGAAGGUGGGGACGACGUCAAGUCAUCAUGCCCCUUAUGUCUUGGGCUACACGCAUGCUACAAUGGUCGGUACAAUGGGUUGCGAUACCGCAAGGUGGAGCUAAUCUCAAAAAGCCGAUCUCAGUUCGGAUUGGGGUCUGCAACUCGACCCCAUGAAGCUGGAGUUGCUAGUAAUCGUAGAUCAGCAACGCUACGGUGAAUACGUUCUCGGGUCUUGUACACACCGCCCGU
RNAcentral lists this ribosomal RNA (499 nucleotides) under uncultured bacterium. RNAcentral describes it as "bacterial SSU rRNA". It matches the Rfam family "Bacterial small subunit ribosomal RNA", at positions 899 to 1397 of the family's 1533-position model. The record is from RNAcentral.